AGGGAAAUAGCUCAGUGGUAGAGUGCCUGCUUAGGAUGCAUGAGGUUCUAGGUUCAAUCUCCAGUACCUCCA
This is a transfer RNA of Camelus ferus (Wild Bactrian camel), 72 nucleotides long. It matches the Rfam family "tRNA". From Rfam's summary of the family: Transfer RNA (tRNA) molecules are approximately 80 nucleotides in length. Their secondary structure includes four short double-helical elements and three loops (D, anti-codon, and T loops). Further hydrogen bonds mediate the characteristic L-shaped molecular structure. tRNAs have two regions of fundamental functional importance: the anti-codon, which is responsible for specific mRNA codon recognition, and the 3' end, to which the tRNAs corresponding amino acid is attached (by aminoacyl-tRNA synthetases). tRNAs cope with the degeneracy of the genetic code in two manners: having more than one tRNA (with a specific anti-codon) for a particular amino acid; and 'wobble' base-pairing, i.e. permitting non-standard base-pairing at the 3rd anti-codon position. The record is from Rfam. Lineage: Eukaryota; Metazoa; Chordata; Mammalia; Artiodactyla; Camelidae.